GCCUUCGUGGUGUAAUGGUCAGCACACUGAGCCAGUAAUUCAGAGGUCCGCGGUUCGAUCCCCGGCGAAGGCA
This 73-nucleotide transfer RNA is filed under the name Stegodyphus mimosarum. It matches the Rfam family "tRNA". From Rfam's summary of the family: Transfer RNA (tRNA) molecules are approximately 80 nucleotides in length. Their secondary structure includes four short double-helical elements and three loops (D, anti-codon, and T loops). The record is from Rfam by way of RNAcentral. Lineage: Eukaryota; Metazoa; Arthropoda; Arachnida; Araneae; Eresidae.